UCACUGGACCUAGCAGAGCU
This 20-nucleotide microRNA is filed under the name Bos taurus (domestic cattle). Its description in RNAcentral is "bta-miR-2339". Lineage: Eukaryota; Metazoa; Chordata; Mammalia; Artiodactyla; Bovidae. The record is from miRBase by way of RNAcentral.